RNAcentral lists this ribosomal RNA (471 nucleotides) under uncultured Glomus. RNAcentral describes it as "SSU rRNA". It matches the Rfam family "Eukaryotic small subunit ribosomal RNA", at positions 569 to 1045 of the family's 1831-position model. The record is from RNAcentral. Lineage: Eukaryota; Fungi; Glomeromycota; Glomeromycetes; Glomerales; Glomeraceae.
AGCAGCCGCGGUAAUUCCAGCUCCAAUAGCGUAUAUUAAAGUUGUUGCAGUUAAAAAGCUCGUAGUUGAAUUUCGGGGUUAGCAGGUCGGUCGUGCCAUCGGUAUGAACUGGUCUCGCUGAUCCCUCCCUCUUGACGAACUGUGAUGCCAUUAAUUUGGUGUCGCAGGGAAUCAGGACUGUUACUUUGAAAAAUUAGAGUGUUUAAAGCAGGCUCACGCUUGAAUACAUUAGCAUGGAAUAAUGAAAUAGGACGUUUGAUCCUAUUUUGUUGGCUUCUAGGAUUGACGUAAUGAUUAAUAGGGAUAGUUGGGGGCAUUAGUAUUCAAUUGUCAGAGGUGAAAUUCUUGGAUUUAUUGAAGACUAACUACUGCGAAAGCAUUUGCCAAGGAUGUUUUCAUUAAUCAAGAACGAAAGUUAGGGGAUCGAAGACGAUCAGAUACCGUCGUAGUCUUAACCAUAAACUAUGCCGA